UUCGGUUGAUCCUGCCGAAGGCUACUGCUAUUGGAGUUCGAUUAAGCCAUGCGAGUCUAAGGGGUACUUGUACCCCUGGCAUAAUGCUCAGUAACACGUGGAUAAUCUACCCUUAGGUGGGGCAUAAACCCGGGAAACUGGGGCUAAUACCCCAUAGAUACAGAACGCUGGAAUGCCUCUGUAUUCAAAGCUCCGGCGCCUAAGGAUGAGUCUGCGACCUAUCAGGUAGUAGUCAGGGUCACGACCUGACUAGCCAACGACGGGUACGGGGUGUGAGAGCACUUGCCCGGAGAUGGUUUCUGAGACAAGAAACCAGGCCCUACGGGGCGCAGCAGGCGCGAAAACUUCGCAAUGCGGGAAACCGUGACGAGGGAACUCCAAGUGUCUAUGCAAUGCAUAGACUGUUUUUCAGCCUAAAUAGCUGUUAGAGUAAGGGGUGGGUAAGACCGGUGCCAGCCGCCGCGGUAACACCGGCACCCCGAGUGGUAGCCACUAUUAUUGGGCCUAAAGCGUUCGUAGCCGGUUUAGUAAAUUCUUGGGUAAAUCGUACAGCUUAACUGUGCGGAUUCCGGGGACACUACUAGACUUGAGACCGGGAGAGAUUAGAGGUACUUGCAGGGGAGCGGUGAAAUGUUGUAAUCCUGCAGGGACCACCAGUGGCGAAGGCGUCUAAUCAUAACGGCUCUGACGGUGAGGAACGAAACCCUGGGGCGCAAACGGGAUUAGAUACCCCGGUAGUCCAGGGCGUAAACGCUGCUGACUUGGUGUUGGAGAUCCUACGAGGGUGUCCAGUGCUGGCGCGAAGGUAUUNAGUCAGCCGCCUGGGGAGUACGGUCGCAAGACUGAAACUUAAAGGAAUUGGCGGGGGAGCACUGCAACGUGUGGAGCGUGCGGUUUAAUUGGAUUCAACGCCGGAAAACUCACCGGGGGCGACGGUUACAUGAAGGCCAAGCUGAUGACUUUGCCUGAUUUUCCGAGAGGUGGUGCAUGGCCGCCGUCAGUUCGUACCGUAAGGCGUUCUGUUAAG
RNAcentral lists this ribosomal RNA (1027 nucleotides) under metagenome. RNAcentral's name for it is "bacterial SSU rRNA". It matches the Rfam family "Archaeal small subunit ribosomal RNA", at positions 1 to 1033 of the family's 1478-position model. The record is from RNAcentral.